Balaenoptera acutorostrata (minke whale) is the source of this 749-nucleotide long non-coding RNA. RefSeq lists it as uncharacterized. The record is from RefSeq and is a predicted model, not a curated record. The transcript is spliced from 4 exons. Lineage: Eukaryota; Metazoa; Chordata; Mammalia; Artiodactyla; Balaenopteridae.
UUCAUUUUUUUAAACUACCGGAUGUAUUCAUCUUCUCCGGUUUACAGAGCUGAAUUUGAUGACAGAGACGACGAUACAAGGCUAUAUGGGUGGGAGGGGUGCUGGGCCCUGGAAGAGACUGGCGAGUCUUCAUGAAGUUCUUGCUUUGUAAUUUUAGACUCGGACAAGUGUUUUGCCAGGCAGAACAAAACAAAAUCCCCCCCGCCCCCAAGUCCCGCCAACAAGGUAGAGUUCACAGGAGAGAAUAUUUUGUUUUCCCCUGAAAUUUGCAACCCAACUUCAGGAAGGUUAUUUUCCGUCCCAAAGACACAGGUGACGACCCUACGCACGCUAGUUCAAUCCCAGCAUCUACUGCCGAGUGGAACCCCAGCAAAGGUGAACUGACCAGGUCUACAGUGUGACACAACCUGACAACACAACCAGCGAUCCUUUUUACCAUAAAUAAUAGGAACACACAUCAAGUAAACGUCAGCGGUCUAUGGAUACUAUGACAAACAAACAGUCUCUCUUCCACUCAGUCACUUCAGAUGCUUUUGCUCCAGCUCUGACCAAUCACCUGGAAGUUGAGGACUGAAGAAGAAAGAAAUCUCUGGUAAAAGGAAGCUGUAAAUCGUAUUUCUUUUGGAGCGAAAAGACAGACCCGUUGCCCGAGUUUUCCCCCCGCCCCAAGGUGCAGCUGGAAAAGCAUCUUGACUGCCUUUGUUUGACACAACACAGUGGUCCUGCCUCUCUCCGACAUGGAAGUUCUG